GUUCCUCCUUGUGGAGUUUACUGUGAGCCUACAACACUGCAUUUCUGCAACGUGCCACUGUUCAGGGAAAGAUCUGAUGAGAGAGUGGAAAUGUACAGCCUCCCAGGUCUGCAGCAUCUUCUACUAGGUGGGAUAAAUAUGUGACUGGAGAGAGACUGUCAGCUGGCUGGGCAAAUCUACAAGAAAUUCUUACUGAGAAAGAACAUGGAGCAACUCCACCAUAUCUCAGUGAAGACAUCCAUCCAGCACUCACUUUUAUCCUUUUUCUUAUGAAACUUUUCUUUCACUUACAUUUAAUGAAUGUCCAAGUUAAAUGAGCAAAAGGAGCUAUAAGCAAUGAUAACAUAAUUACCUAUAAGCAAAUAGUAUCCUCAUAGUGCAGUAACUUUCCACAGAGCUUUGACCUUUUUUCUCAGUGUGCUUUUUAGGUUUUUCUCCAUUUCCACACCAAUAAACUACAUAUGUAGGAUGC
Long non-coding RNA from Phasianus colchicus (ring-necked pheasant), 472 nucleotides. RefSeq lists it as uncharacterized. NCBI's taxonomy places the organism in Eukaryota, Metazoa, Chordata, Aves, Galliformes, Phasianidae. The record is from RefSeq and is a predicted model, not a curated record.